GGCAGGACGCCGGGGGACAGGUGCAGCAGCCAGCCGCGCCUCGCCCCGUGCUCUGCAGGCUCCCGUAGGCCUCGACCCGGCCUCGACAGGAGGAGCUCGAGCCGACUCGGCAGAAGGAGUAUAGCAGCAGACAUGCCCGUGAGUUUCUCUCUCUAAUCCCCUUGAAACUACAUUCCCGAUCUGGAGCGGGAGGCCAGGGAUGCCUCGUAUGUGUCUCCGUAAUUUUCUUCUCAGUUUGACAAGGAAUAUGCCUAUGGUACUCUUCUGAUUUUGGGUGUAGAUUCUGAUUUUGUUGGCAAAACAAUGGCAGAUUUCUCCAUUAGCUUAUAUGAUUUGGGGCUGAUUUUCCUUGUGUGAUUCCUGUUCAUGGCCUUGCUGUGGGAGAUUGCAAAAGUGAAGUGAAUUAAGUGUGAAAAAAUAGCAGGAGCAAUGCCUGGGCUGUAGAUUUCUCCAUUAGUUUAGUCAUGGCUAAUAUGAACUUCUCUAUUAUAUUACUUAUGGAUUGUUCAGUAAAAUGAAACCUCAUGGUGUGGCAUGUCACCUCCCUUGCACAUAUACUUGUACCCAAUUUAGGCCAUCAGUAGAACUGUCUAUAUUGUACAGGUCAACUAAUACACAGCACCCCGGCGGCCGGUGCAUACAUAUAACUGCACGCACACACAGCGCCACCUGACUCCUAUUUCUUCAGUGCAGCACCGUGACAUGGCCAUACUCUGUAUGGACACAGUGGCAGAUUACAAACUCUGUGCAAUAGUGGAUCUAAUAAACAAGAUGUCUUAGGUUUGAAAGCAACAUGCAGAUAAGGAGAUAACUUUGGAUAUGUUAUUAUCUUUACCAUUAUACGUAUAUAAUUUCUUAAUGUACGAUGGAGCUGACCUCACGGGUUGACUGACGGCGACACGAAAGUUGGAGGGAGCCAACCAUCUCUACGGCCCAUGCUCCUCUUGCCAACGAUGACCGCGCCGUGAACCAGGGCUGCCGCUCGAGCUCCUCCUGGGUCCAGGUCAUGCUAUGUUUUAGUGCUCAUGGAGUUCCUCUGGCAUACGUUGGUUCUGGUGAUCCGUAUAAAACAUAGAUGGAAGACUAUGGAUCUUAUCAUGGAUGAGCUCAAAGAUACAGGAAUCUCAAAUCCAUGUAUACAUCAAUCACACUCAUACCCGCUAUGUCACAUAAGCAACUUCAGUUGUCCUUCGCUUGUGAAUUCACCAUCCAAAUAUUUUUGUUUUAUUGGAGAGCACAUAAAAUAUUUGGAGAAUCAAAGGUGAAUGUAAAUAAAACACUCACUGUAUGUUUGCAUGCACAUGAUCAGUACCUCCAUUUUCCUUUGUAGUAAUACUAAGAUACAAACAUUAUUUGUGUUCACUUUUUGGCCAUUUCAUACCUAUGUCGUCAAGAUUCUGUUCUGAUGUAGAAUAUUCAGUUUAGUUUGGCCUGCAUUUGUCCCAGAGAGCGAGUGUUCACAGGUCCAGUGCUUAUGUAAGUUAUUAUUUAGUCAAGCUUAUGUAAGUUAUUAUUUAGUCAAGAUUCCGUUCUGAUGCAUAAUAGCUAAUAACUUGCCUCUUAAGUUGUCUCUACAAACUAAAAUUUGAACUUUAAAACUUAUCUAGCCAUAGUUUUUGCAGCAAGAAUAGCAUGACUUAUUUUAUCUCCUUUUCGAGCUGGAACACUUGGCUAUUGUGAUUUUUCUUUGUAGACUUUCCUAUACUAUACAAAAUGUAUGUUGUGGAGAAAUUAUAAACUGCGUUACAAAUUGUUGUAAUGUUGUGUAGAAACUGAACAGGGACAAGCACAUGAAAUUAUAUGUUGUGGUAGAUUUCAAAAGAGACCCAGGGCCCAGAGUAGUUUUGCAAAAAUGGAGGAUACCAGACUGACCCAUGGAGCAUGAGAUCCUCCUUGUCAGGGGCCACCUUACUUGUAUGGCUUCAGGCUGAGGAGACCCUUCUAAUUAAGAAGAUUUGUGCUGCUGCUAUUGCGUUCUUCAGUUUCUGGUCAUUGGUUCAUCUGCAAAUGUGUGGACCUCACUCCCUUUUGCUCGAUUGCUCCACCUUGCUCCUUUGGCUGAUUAUAAUAGCUAUUUCCGCAGCCCAUGACGCUGGUUGAGGUUAGUCUUUCAGCAUAUGUUCUCUUCAUUACAUGUCCUUUAAAUUGCAGGAUAGGCCCUUACAAAUAAGUUAAUUAACUACAUGUCUGCAUUAAUAUAUUUUCCUGAUGGGUUUCCCUACUAUGGCUCAUGGUCAUAGAUGUAGUUUGCAUUUGCUGCUGUUGUUUCUCUCAAUAUUUCUAUCCCACUAUACUGUAUGUGUUCUAAAUCUACCGGUAUAUGAAAGAUGAUUAUCUCCAUUAUUAUUGUUCGUACAACCCUUUUUAUCCAAGAUUCAAAACACCUAACACGUGCCCUUUUUUAAGUAUCUUUUAUGCAGUCUAUUGGUUCUUAACUUACUACCAACUACUAGCGAAGAUAGCUUUCUGAAAUAAGCAUGCUAAGCAUGAACAUUGUUCUACUCACGGGAAGAACUCUCAGAGAUCCAGGCAGCGUCCAGAUUGCUGUUAUCAUCCUCCAUCAACAAAACCAUGGGGUCCUUGUGGGAGCUGCAUACAAAGUUACAAACCCGUGUGGAUGUAUUUGGUUGGUAGCUGCAACAGCCUGCCAAUCGGAUAAGAGAAGCCAAGGGGCCAUCAGCGAUGGUGUAGCUUCAGCAUCCUGUCAAUUGGAGGAGAGGCCAAGGAGUCAUCGGCAAGAAGCAACCUUAUCCUGGAACUUGAAGUGGAGUAAUGGUUAACAAUGUUUUAGGGAUCAUAUGUUUUCUUUUGUUCACACUUGAGAGCUACAAGCAUUAAGAUGUUACGAUAAAUUAUGUACCAAAGUUUGCUUUGUCCGUGGUCAUAUCUAUGUGUGUUAAUUUAUUUUCCUAUAGUCA
Long non-coding RNA from Triticum dicoccoides, 2918 nucleotides. RefSeq lists it as uncharacterized. NCBI's taxonomy places the organism in Eukaryota, Viridiplantae, Streptophyta, Magnoliopsida, Poales, Poaceae. The record is from RefSeq and is a predicted model, not a curated record. The transcript has 5 exons.